UGGUUCUGGCAUCGAUGAAGAACGCAGCGAAAUGCGAUAAGUAAUGUGAAUUGCAGAAUUCAGUGAAUCAUCGAAUCUUUGAACGCACAUUGCGCCCUUUGGUAUUCCGAGGGGCAUGUCUGUUCGAGCGUCAUUACACCAAUCAAGCAUGGCUUGGCAUUGGACGACGACUUUCGUCACGUCUCAAACUUCUGUCAGCUAGAAAGAAAGACCUAGCGUUGUGAAACAAAAUCGCUAGCUGCAUCUGACUGUUCUACGCUAUGGAAAUUCAUCUCAAGGUUGACCUCGGAUCAGAUAGGGAUACCCGCUGA
This 311-nucleotide unclassified non-coding RNA is filed under the name uncultured fungus. RNAcentral's name for it is "partial contains 5.8S ribosomal RNA and internal transcribed spacer 2". The stretch from base 1 to 133 matches the Rfam family "5.8S ribosomal RNA", at positions 22 to 154 of the family's 154-position model. Lineage: Eukaryota; Fungi. The record is from RNAcentral.